UGGGUUGUAGCUCAGUGGUAGAGCGCUUGCCGCAUGCAUGAGGCACUGAGUUUGAUCCUCAGCAACACAC
This 70-nucleotide transfer RNA is filed under the name Marmota monax (woodchuck). It matches the Rfam family "tRNA". Rfam says of the family: Transfer RNA (tRNA) molecules are approximately 80 nucleotides in length. Their secondary structure includes four short double-helical elements and three loops (D, anti-codon, and T loops). The record is from Rfam by way of RNAcentral. Lineage: Eukaryota; Metazoa; Chordata; Mammalia; Rodentia; Sciuridae.